CUUUUAACGAGAGUUUGAUCCUGGCUCAGGACGAACGCUGGCGGCGUGCCUAAUACA
RNAcentral lists this ribosomal RNA (57 nucleotides) under Aerococcus urinaehominis. RNAcentral's name for it is "16S rRNA. Bacterial SSU". The record is from RNAcentral. Lineage: Bacteria; Bacillati; Bacillota; Bacilli; Lactobacillales; Aerococcaceae.